AUUCGCCCUUCCGUCAAUUCCUUUGAGUUUCAACCUUGCGGCCGUACUCCCCAGGCGGAGAACUUAUCGCGUUAGCUACGACACCGAUUUGCUAAGCAAACCAACGUCAAGUUCUCAUCGUUUACGGCGUGGACUACCAGGGUAUCUAAUCCUGUUUGCUACCCACGCUUUCGUGCCUCAGCGUCAAAACAGGCCCAGGAGGCUGCCUUCGCCAUCGGUGUUCUUCCAGAUAUCUACGCAUUUCACCACUACACCUGGAGUUCCACCUCCCUCUACCGUUUUCUAGUCUGACAGUAUCGACCGCAAUUCCUAGGUUGAGCCCAGGGCUUUCACAAUCGACUUAUCAAACCGCCUACGCACGCUUUACGCCCAGUAAAUCCGAUUAACGCUAGCACCCUCUGUAUUACCGCGGCUGCUGGCACAGAGUUAGCCGGUGCUUAUUCUGUCGGUACCGUCAAGACUUCACGUAUUAAGUAAAGUUUUUUCUUCCCAACUUAAAGUGCUUUACAACCCGAAGGCCCUCUUCACACACGCGGUAUUGCUGGAUCAGGCUUUCGCCCAUUGUCCAAUAUUCCCCACUGCUGCCUCCCGUAGGAGUCCGGACCGUGUCUCAGUUCCGGUGUGACUGAUCAUCCUCUCAGACCAGUUACGGAUCGUAGCCUUGGUGAGCCAUUACCUCACCAACUAGCUAAUCCGACGUAGGUUCCUCCAAAAGCGAGAGGCCUUGCGGUCCCCCUCUUUGCUCUUGCGAGAUCAUGCGGUAUUAAUCCGGGUUUCCCCGGGUUAUCCCCCACUUAAGGGCAGAUCCCUACGUAUUCCUCACCCGUCCGCCACUAGGUAUUGCUACCUCGUUCGACUUGCAUGUGUUAGGCCUG
RNAcentral lists this ribosomal RNA (875 nucleotides) under uncultured bacterium. RNAcentral describes it as "partial 16S ribosomal RNA". The record is from RNAcentral.